AACUUCAACAUCUUUUUGGCAGCUUGCUCCCCAGUUCGGCAGCCUCACAGGACCCACCAGCCACCCAGCUGCUACCAUCCCUCUGAGAAGCUCCUCCUGGUUAUCUGCCCUGUACCAAGCUGCUUCAUUUCCAUAGCUCCUGAGAAUCUGCUGACAGGGAAUUAGCCCUGGCCUGGCUUCCCCAUCCUGAGGACACCCUGGCUUCUGGCAUUACAGCUCAUUAGCCAAGACCGGCCCCGCUCAGGGAAGGGCUCUGCAGCCUCCUGCUCCCCACCUCUUCCUCUGGAUCUCAUCACUAUUAUCAGGGAGACUUAUCUGCUCCAGAAUUCUAUCCCAAUUAAAAACUAGCUAGGUUUACACCUGCAACCUCUUGAUGUAUCUCAUUCCCAGAGCUUCUCCCCCAGCCAUUUCUGGGGGAAAAUACAUUUUUCCAGCCAACUUCCCCCCUUGAAACCUCUCUGCUUUCCCACCAAUGGCUGCCACAAAAAGAAGAGGUGAGAGGGGCUACGGCUAUGGCAGCACCUGUAGGUAUCUGCAGAUGGGAAAGAGCGCAAACACACACGCACACACACA
Molecule: long non-coding RNA, 573 nt
Organism: Chinchilla lanigera (long-tailed chinchilla)
Lineage: Eukaryota; Metazoa; Chordata; Mammalia; Rodentia; Chinchillidae
Exons: 3
Source: RefSeq, a predicted model, not a curated record